GGGUUUAAGACUUAACUGUUUGCUUAUUUAUGCAGGCAGAAACUCUCCCUGGGGUGUCUUGAAUGUGUGCAAUGAGCAUGAACACUGGAUUUGGAUCAGUGAGCUGAGAGAUGUGGACCAUCACACUUGGCCGGAUGAGUCCCUGUGGGUUGUGGACCUGGGAGGAGCUGUGAACGCUGUUCAUUCUAGAAGACUCUUAAUAGAUUUUCUCCCUUGCUGGCUUUGAUGAAGUAAGCUCUUAUAUGGAGAGUCCCAUGUGGAAGGAAUUAAGGGUGACCUCUUCCAAACAGUCAACAAGGAACUGAGUCCUAUCAACAGCCAUGUGAACUUGGAAACAGAUCCUACCCCGACGAGAUUCAGGUAAGAUCCCAGCCCUGACAGACAAGCUGAUUGCAGCUUUAUGAAUGACACU
RNAcentral lists this long non-coding RNA (412 nucleotides) under Mustela putorius furo (domestic ferret). RNAcentral's name for it is "lncRNA (ENSMPUG00000028428.1)". Lineage: Eukaryota; Metazoa; Chordata; Mammalia; Carnivora; Mustelidae. The record is from RNAcentral.